GUGUCAGCAGCCGCGGUAAUACGGAGGGUGCAAGCGUUAAUCGGAAUUACUGGGCGUAAACCCCACGCAGGCGGUUUGUUAAGUGUCAUGUGAAAUCCCGGGGCUCAACCUCGGAACCGCAUUUGAAACUGGUUCACUAGAGUACUGUAGAGGGGGGUAGAAUUUCAGGUGUAGCGGUGGAAUGCGUAGAGAUCUGAAGGAAUACCGGUGGCGAAGGCGGCCCCCUGGACAGAUACUGACACUCAGAUGCGAAAGCGUGGGGAGCAAACAGGUUUAGAUACCCCGGUAGUCC
This 292-nucleotide ribosomal RNA is filed under the name uncultured prokaryote. Its description in RNAcentral is "partial 16S ribosomal RNA". It matches the Rfam family "Bacterial small subunit ribosomal RNA", at positions 505 to 796 of the family's 1533-position model. The record is from RNAcentral.